UGCAGUCGAGCGGCGACGCGGNAAGCUUGCUUCCUGGUGGCAAGCGCGGACGGCUGAGUAAUGCUAGGAAUCUGCCCGGUAGUGGGGGAUAACCUGGGGAAACCCCCGCUAAUACCGCAUACGUCCUACGGGAGCAGCAGGGGCUCUUCGGACCUUGCGCUGGGCAUGAGCCUAUGUCGGAUUAUCUGGUUGGAGAGGUCUUGCCUCGCCA
This 211-nucleotide ribosomal RNA is filed under the name uncultured bacterium. Its description in RNAcentral is "partial 16S ribosomal RNA". The record is from RNAcentral.